This 1469-nucleotide ribosomal RNA is filed under the name uncultured organism. Its description in RNAcentral is "16S ribosomal RNA". It matches the Rfam family "Bacterial small subunit ribosomal RNA". The record is from RNAcentral.
GACGAACGCUGGCGGCGUGCCUAAUACAUGCAAGUCGAGCGAGCGGAACUAACAGAUUUACUUCGGUAAUGACGUUAGGAAAGCGAGCGGCGGAUGGGUGAGUAACACGUGGGGAACCUGCCCCAUAGUCUGGGAUACCACUUGGAAACAGGUGCUAAUACCGGAUAAGAAAGCAGAUCGCAUGAUCAGCUUUUAAAAGGCGGCGUAAGCUGUCGCUAUGGGAUGGCCCCGCGGUGCAUUAGCUAGUUGGUAAGGUAAAGGCUUACCAAGGCGAUGAUGCAUAGCCGAGUUGAGAGACUGAUCGGCCACAUUGGGACUGAGACACGGCCCAAACUCCUACGGGAGGCAGCAGUAGGGAAUCUUCCACAAUGGACGCAAGUCUGAUGGAGCAACGCCGCGUGAGUGAAGAAGGUUUUCGGAUCGUAAAGCUCUGUUGUUGGUGAAGAAGGAUAGAGGUAGUAACUGGCCUUUAUUUGACGGUAAUCAACCAGAAAGUCACGGCUAACUACGUGCCAGCAGCCGCGGUAAUACGUAGGUGGCAAGCGUUGUCCGGAUUUAUUGGGCGUAAAGCGAGCGCAGGCGGAAGAAUAAGUCUGAUGUGAAAGCCCUCGGCUUAACCGAGGAACUGCAUCGGAAACUGUUUUUCUUGAGUGCAGAAGAGGAGAGUGGAACUCCAUGUGUAGCGGUGGAAUGCGUAGAUAUAUGGAAGAACACCAGUGGCGAAGGCGGCUCUCUGGUCUGCAACUGACGCUGAGGCUCGAAAGCAUGGGUAGCGAACAGGAUUAGAUACCCUGGUAGUCCAUGCCGUAAACGAUGAGUGCUAAGUGUUGGGAGGUUUCCGCCUCUCAGUGCUGCAGCUAACGCAUUAAGCACUCCGCCUGGGGAGUACGACCGCAAGGUUGAAACUCAAAGGAAUUGACGGGGGCCCGCACAAGCGGUGGAGCAUGUGGUUUAAUUCGAAGCAACGCGAAGAACCUUACCAGGUCUUGACAUCUAGUGUCAUUUGUAGAGAUACAAAGUUCCCUUCGGGGACGCUAAGACAGGUGGUGCAUGGCUGUCGUCAGCUCGUGUCGUGAGAUGUUGGGUUAAGUCCCGCAACGAGCGCAACCCUUGUUAUUAGUUGCCAGCAUUAAGUUGGGCACUCUAAUGAGACUGCCGGUGACAAACCGGAGGAAGGUGGGGAUGACGUCAAGUCAUCAUGCCCCUUAUGACCUGGGCUACACACGUGCUACAAUGGGCAGUACAACGAGAAGCGAGCCUGCGAAGGCAAGCGAAUCUCUGAAAGCUGUUCUCAGUUCGGACUGCAGUCUGCAACUCGACUGCACGAAGCUGGAAUCGCUAGUAAUCGCGGAUCAGCACGCCGCGGUGAAUACGUUCCCGGGCCUUGUACACACCGCCCGUCACACCAUGGGAGUCUGCAAUGCCCAAAGCCGGAGGCCUAACCUUCGGGAAGGAGCCGUCUAAGGCGG